This 253-nucleotide ribosomal RNA is filed under the name uncultured bacterium. RNAcentral's name for it is "partial 16S ribosomal RNA". It matches the Rfam family "Bacterial small subunit ribosomal RNA", at positions 524 to 776 of the family's 1533-position model. The record is from RNAcentral.
UACGUAGGGUGCAAGCGUUGUCCGGAAUCAUUGGGCGUAAAGCGCGCGUAGGUGGCUUCGUAAGUCCGUUGUGAAAGUCAAAGGCUCAACCUUUGAAUGCCGAUGGAUACUGCGAAGCUAGAGUACGGAAGAGGCGAGUGGAAUUCCUGGUGUAGCGGUGGAAUGCGCAGAUAUCAGGAGGAACACCGGUGGCGAAGGCGGGUCUCUGGGCCGAUAUUGACGCUGAGGAGCGAAAGCGUGGGGAGCGAACAGG